CAGUCGCCGCGGUAAUACGUAGGGUGCGAGCGUUAAUCGGAAUUACUGGGCGUAAAGCGUGCGCAGGCGGUGCUGCAAGACCGAUGUGAAAGCCCCGGGCUUAACCUGGGAACUGCAUUGGUGACUGCAGCGCUGGAGUAUGGCAGAGGGGGGUGGAAUUCCACGUGUAGCAGUGAAAUGCGUAGAGAUGUGGAGGAACACCGAUGGCGAAGGCAGCCCCCUGGGCCAAUACUGACGCUCAUGCACGAAAGCGUGGGGAGCAAACAGGAUUAGAUACCCCUGUAGUCCCUGUCUCUUAUAA
This 301-nucleotide ribosomal RNA is filed under the name uncultured bacterium. RNAcentral describes it as "partial 16S ribosomal RNA". It matches the Rfam family "Bacterial small subunit ribosomal RNA", at positions 509 to 809 of the family's 1533-position model. The record is from RNAcentral.